Molecule: ribosomal RNA, 385 nt
Filed under: uncultured bacterium
Lineage: Bacteria
Description: bacterial SSU rRNA
Rfam family: Bacterial small subunit ribosomal RNA
Source: RNAcentral
CGAGCGCAACCCGUUGAUCUUAGGUUGCCAGCAAGUCAGUUUGGGCACUCUAAGGUGACUGCCGGUGACAAACCGGUAGGUAAGGUGUGGGAUGACGUCAAAUCAUCAUGCCCCUUAGUGACCUGGGCUUCACACGUGCUACAAUGGACGGUACAAAGGGCUGCAACCCCGCGAGGGCAAGCCAAUCCCAGAAAACCGUUCUCAGUUCGGAUUGCAGGCAAAAACUCGCUGCAUGAAGCCGGAAUCGCUAGUAAUCGUGGAUCAGCAUGCCACGGUGAAUACGUUACACCGGGCCUUGUGCAACACCGCCCGUCACACCACGAGAGUUUGUAUACACCCGAAGUCGGUGAGGUAACCCUUGUGGAGCCAGCCGCCGAAGGUGGGA